AACAAAGUCACCUGACUGUGACAGGUGGCGACAGGGUUGAAUAGCAUGUAGGGAUGUGCUUCGCCAGAUUAAAUUCCCCACACUUUUAUUCGCGGCAACUAACAUACGCGAUUCGAUAGAACAAAAGAAGAAAUAAACUCAACGCGGUUCGUUAUAACAAAACGUAAUUGGAUAUAAAAAUACUGACACCGUCGUUGACAUACGUUGCAUGUCGCAACUCGUGGUCCGAUUGGUCGGGGUUUUCUGUUAAUAAUUCGACACAAUUAAACUUAUUAGUAAACGAGUCAGAGUGUUAAACUUGCAGGUCAAGAAUAAUUGAAUGGCGAACUAACUGUUUACAGCUUGUUUAUCCAAAGUAUUUUUCUUAUUAAAAGGUCGAAGCUUGCGUAGACGUCAGCGAGUGGUACUACAGAAUGUUUCAGAAGAACUUGAAAUUGCGAACGAAUAUAGUAGUCGGCACGGUACCGCUCCAAAAUUACGAGACCCCUCAAAAAACAGACGACGUUACAGAGGCUUUUUCAUCUCAUCCACCGUGCACCAGGUCCGUCGAAGAAUACACCAACGACAUAGCAACAUCGAAAAACAUCGACAGAGAGCGUACUCCGAAGUCAGGUUUGUCUUCAGUGCCGCUUUACGAGAGAAGUCAGAUAUAUCGAUCCUCGAAACCGGACAGAGACGAUCCCACGGGGGAUGAAGGGGACAGCGACGGAGAGGUCAAACCAUAUUCGCCAAUGUAUCGCGUGUACAAGUUCCAAUCGUCUGAAAAACACGGAUAAAUAGACACGUACAUUGUUGGCUAUAUAUAAACACAGAAGAGCCUCGCUUAAUUAUUCGUUCGACUUGAUGUUCGUUAGCGAUGUUUGUAACAGAUCCACAAAAUCGAUUGGAAAUCGUCGAGAAAGAAACAGGGAAAGGUUGUUAAUGUUGCCUCCAGAAAUUUUAUAUAUUCACGUACACGUAUCUGUGUGGUUAAAUUGCGUCCCAUUCUCAUCCCUAUCGGUCGACUAUAGAUGCCUUCAAUUUUGCCUUUGUCUCUUAAUUUCUUACGCAGAAAAAAAAACUUGGAAGGAUCACUAAAGUGAAAGAAACACUGCGAGCGAGAUAUUAAAAUCCGUUUGGGACCAACCUGUGCUGCUAAUUAAAUUCCGUAAUUACACGAGCAACUUGGGAGGAAAGUUAUUCUAUAAUAAUUGUUCGGUCCGUGUUAUCUCCGAUACCAUCGGAGCAAAUUUUUGCGAAACAUGUAACAACAUGUACUGCUUUAAUGUUCAAUAAAAA
This is an RNA transcript of Hylaeus volcanicus, 1278 nucleotides long. RefSeq lists it as uncharacterized. The record is from RefSeq and is a predicted model, not a curated record. Lineage: Eukaryota; Metazoa; Arthropoda; Insecta; Hymenoptera; Colletidae. The transcript has 2 exons.